This is a long non-coding RNA of Octopus sinensis (East Asian common octopus), 386 nucleotides long. RefSeq lists it as uncharacterized. The record is from RefSeq and is a predicted model, not a curated record. The transcript has 3 exons. Lineage: Eukaryota; Metazoa; Mollusca; Cephalopoda; Octopoda; Octopodidae.
AAAAAUUAAUGUUGAAAGGAAAAUGAUGCUGUUGAAGAGAUUUAGUGAUUUGUGUUUAGAUAUUAUUGAUGACAAUGCUCUUCUUGUUAAAUUGUGGGAUGCUGCUGCUGUUGCCUAUGAUGAUGCUAUAACAGCAACUGGAACAAUUUGAAAUGCGCACAUAUUUCUAUGCAAUGCAAGCCCAGGUUUUGACACAUUAACGGGACCAAACACACUGCCACUGAGUUCAGAACUUGCCUCACCAUUUUAUUCAUGAAAACAAUUCAUCAUAGCAACAGGAGAAGCAAUGGGGCCAUAGAAAAUCUACCUCAAUAAUUUUCAUCCAGCCCAUAUCAGAAUUGAUGAUGAUGGUACAUUGAGAGAGAGAUAAAAAUUAAAAGUGAGAC